UUUUUUGUGGUGUAUAAACACAUUGGCUUUUCACGCUGAAGAAGAAGAAAUAUUUCUUCCAGG
RNAcentral lists this transfer RNA (63 nucleotides) under Sinonovacula constricta (Chinese razor clam). RNAcentral describes it as "tRNA-Glu". Lineage: Eukaryota; Metazoa; Mollusca; Bivalvia; Cardiida; Solecurtidae. The record is from RNAcentral.